UGUUUCCUAUUAGGCUUGCCGCGAUAGACUGUGUUUUCGGUUAUACUGGUAUUAAGCCGCAACACCGGUUACGUCAUUUGCCUACCGCGGCACCG
Long non-coding RNA from Sinocyclocheilus rhinocerous, 95 nucleotides. RefSeq lists it as uncharacterized. The transcript is spliced from 3 exons. Lineage: Eukaryota; Metazoa; Chordata; Actinopteri; Cypriniformes; Cyprinidae. The record is from RefSeq and is a predicted model, not a curated record.